CCCCUAGUAACUGCGAGUGAAGCGGGAAGAGCUCAAAUUUAAAAUCUGACAGCCUUUGGCUGUCCGAGUUGUAAUCUAGAGAAGUGUUAUCCGCGUGGACCGUGUACAAGUUCCUGGAAUGGAACAUCAUAGAGGGUGAGAAUCCCGUCUUUGACACGGACUUCCAGGGCUUUUGUGAUACGCUCUCAAAGAGUCGAGUUGUUUGGGAAUGCAGCUCUAAAUGGGUGGUAAAUUCCAUCUAAAGCUAAAUAUUGGCGAGAGACCGAUAGCGAACAAGUACCGUGAGGGAAAGAUGAAAAGAACUUUGGAAAGAGAGUUAAACAGUACGUGAAAUUGUUGAAAGGGAAACGCUUGAAGUCAGUCGCAUUGACUAGGGAUCAACGUUGCUUUUUUGCUUGGUGUACUUCCUAGUUGAUGGGCCAGCAUCAAUUUUGACCAGUGGAUAAAGGUCAAAGGAAUGUGGCAUCUCUGGAUGUGUUAUAGCCUUUGAUUGUAUACAUUGGUUGGGAUUGAGGAACUCAGCACGCCGCAAGGCCGGGUUUCGACCACGAUCGUGGUUAGGAUGCUGGCAUAAUGGCUUUAAUCGACCCGUCUUGAAACACGGACCAAGGAGUCUAACAUGCCUGCGAGUAUUUGGGUGGCAAACCCAUGUGCGUAAUGAAAGUGAAGAUCAGGAUCUCUGUCAUGGAGAGCACUGAUGCCCGGACCAGACCUUUUGUGACGGAUCUGCGGUAGAGCAUGCAUGUUGGGACCCGAAAGAUGGUGAACUAUGCCUGAAUAGGGUGAAGCCAGAGGAAACUCUGUGGAGGCUCGUAGCGAUUCUGACGUGCAAAUCGAUCGUCAA
Molecule: ribosomal RNA, 844 nt
Filed under: Macrocybe gigantea
Lineage: Eukaryota; Fungi; Basidiomycota; Agaricomycetes; Agaricales; Callistosporiaceae
Description: partial large subunit ribosomal RNA
Rfam family: Eukaryotic large subunit ribosomal RNA
Source: RNAcentral